CAGUCGCCGCGGUAAUACGAGGGGGGCAAGCGUUGUUCGGAAUUAUUGGGCGUAAAGGGUGCGUAGGCGGUUUGGCAAGUUUGGUGUGAAAUCUUCGGGCUCAACUCGAAGUCUGCAUCGAAAACUGCCGGGCUUGAGUAUGGGAGAGGUGAGUGGAAUUUCCGGUGUAGCGGUGAAAUUCGUAGAUAUUCGGAGGAACACCAGUGGCGAAGGCGGCUCACUGGUCCAUUACUGACGCUGAGGUGCGAAAGCGUGGGGAGCAAACAGGAUUAGAUACCCCAGUAGUCCCUGUCUCUUAUAC
This 301-nucleotide ribosomal RNA is filed under the name uncultured bacterium. Its description in RNAcentral is "partial 16S ribosomal RNA". It matches the Rfam family "Bacterial small subunit ribosomal RNA", at positions 509 to 807 of the family's 1533-position model. The record is from RNAcentral.